This 143-nucleotide ribosomal RNA is filed under the name uncultured bacterium. RNAcentral describes it as "partial 16S ribosomal RNA". It matches the Rfam family "Bacterial small subunit ribosomal RNA", at positions 338 to 472 of the family's 1533-position model. The record is from RNAcentral.
CCUACGGGAGGCAGCAGUGGGGAAUAUUGCACAAUGGGCGCAAGCCUGAUGCAGCCAUGCCGCGUGUAUGAAGAAGGCCUUCGGGUUGUAAAGUACUUUCAGCGGGGAGGAAGGGAGUAAAGUUAAUACCUUUGCUCAAUUGA